RNAcentral lists this ribosomal RNA (434 nucleotides) under uncultured Clostridium sp. Its description in RNAcentral is "partial 16S ribosomal RNA". It matches the Rfam family "Bacterial small subunit ribosomal RNA", at positions 341 to 792 of the family's 1533-position model. Lineage: Bacteria; Bacillati; Bacillota; Clostridia; Eubacteriales; Clostridiaceae. The record is from RNAcentral.
ACGGGAGGCAGCAGUGGGGAAUAUUGCACAAUGGGGGAAACCCUGAUGCAGCGACGCCGCGUGAGUGAAGAGGUAUUUCGGUAUGUAAAGCUCUAUCAGCAGGGAAGAAAAUGACGGUACCUGACUAAGAAGCCCCGGCUAACUACGUGCCAGCAGCCGCGGUAAUACGUAGGGGGCGAGCGUUAUCCGGAUUUACUGGGUGUAAAGGGCGCGUAGGCGGGGAUGCAAGUCAGGUGUGAAAUCUAUGGGCUUAACUCAUAAACUGCACUUGAAACUGUAUCUCUUGAGUGCUGGAGAGGUAGAUGGAAUUCCUUGUGUAGCGGUGAAAUGCGUAGAUAUAAGGAAGAACACCAGUGGCGAAGGCGAUCUACUGGACAGUAACUGACGCUCAUGCUCGAAGGUGUGGGAAUCAAACAGGAUUAGAUACCCUGGUA